GACGAGGGGAAUUUAUUAUACAGCGCGGUACUGCAUUUCAGAGGUCACUGCUGCCACGGUUUAACUGCUCGCCCUAUUAGUAAUGCCCAGACAUGGGGUUACAUCGAUAGGCUCCCCAGAGUUUAGACUGGGGGCACACACGAGGAGAGGCCAGCCCUGAAGAGGGCCAAAGGGAAUAAGGGUUCCCCACCUUUUGGCUUGGAAUUUAAAAGACCCUUCUGCACUCUUUGCCCAUAUGAACAUAGAGGAACCUCAGCAAACUUGGAGGUGGCCGGGAGUCACUGGAAUUUAUUGAGUGGUGACCGUUAGUCAAUCAACACACACUUAUCGAGCAUCUACUCUGUGCCAGGCUGCUGUAGGCCCUGGCCCUACAGAGAUGAAAACAACCCCCAAAACAAUAGUCUCUAGCCUCGAGAAGCUUAUGUAUUACUGGAAGGAUCGGAUAUAAGACCAAAGGAUCAUGGAUCAAAAGUUGGAAGGUCCUCAGGGGCUCUCAGCCCUCCAGGUGAUGUAAAUAGAUAAAUAAGGGUAAAAAUAAUCAUGGCUGACAUUUGAGGGCCCUUGUGGUUUGGUAGAGAGAUCACAGAUCUGAAGUCAGAGGACCUGGGUUCAAUUCCCAUUGGGUGUCCUUGGGUAAGACAUCAUUUCCCUAACUCUCAGUUUCUUUCUUUGUAAAAUGAGGAGUUUGGACUAGGUCACUUCUGAAGUUACUUCCCACUCUGCAUCUAUGAAUGGUAGCCCUAAAUGUGCAUCAUAUGGCUGUAAUGGCAAACUGGCAUACAUGAGUAUGCCUGGCUGAACCAAAUCCCAAUAUGGAAGAGGCUGGGGCAUCUGCUCCCAGGAGGGCCAUGAUGAUGUAUCAGGAAGACCUUGGAGCAUUCAUAGACAUCCUGGACCAAUUCCAACCUGUUAGCCAUGUAGUAGAUAGAACCAGAACCAGAAUGGGGGGCUUCUAAAGGUUUUAAGGGCCCCCCUCUCUCUUUCUUGUUUGGAACUCUCUGUCCCUCCAUCUCUAUCACUGUCUCUGUCUUUUUUCUCUUUUUCUGUCUCCUUUCUGUCUCUCUGUCUCUUUCUCCUCUCUCUGUCCCAGUCUCUCCAUCUCUAUCACUGUCUCUUUCUUCUUUCUUUUUUUUCUGUUUCCAUCUGUCUUCUUUCUCUCUCUUUCUUUCUCUCUGUCUGUCUGUCCCUCUCUUUCUCUGGCUCUGUCUGUCCCUCUCUUUCUCUGGCUCUGUCUGUUUCUCUCUCUGUCUCUCUUUCUCUCUCUGGCUUUGUCUUCUUUCUCUUUUUCUGCCUCUUUCUGUCUCCUUUCUGUCUCUGUCUCCUUUCUGUUUCUCUGUCUCUUUCUCCUCUCUGUCUCUGUCUCUCCAUCUCUAUCACUGUUUCUUCUUUCUGUUUUUUCUGCUUCCAUUUGUCUCUUUUCUCUCUCUCUCUUUCUCUUUCUCUCUCUGUCUGUCCCUCUCUUUCUCUGGCUCUGUCUGUCUCUCUCUGUCUCUGUCUCUGUCUCUGUCUCUGUCUCUGGCUCUGUCUUCUUUCUCUUUUUCUGCCUCUUUUUUGUCUCUCUGUCUCUGUCUCUCCACCUCUAUCACUGUAUCUGUCUUUCUCUUUUUUCUGCUUCCACCUGUCUCCUUUCUCUCUCUUUCUCUCUGUCUCUCUCUCUCUGUCUCUCUCUCACUGUCUCUCUCUGUCUCUCUCUCUCUCUCUGGCUCUGUCUUCUUUCUCUUUUUCUCCCCCCCUCUCUGUGUGUCCCUCUCUUUCUCUGGCUCUGUCUGUCUCUCUCUUUCUCUCUCUGGCUCUGUCUUCUUUCUCUUUUUCUGCCUCUUUUUGUCUCUCUGUCUCUGUCUCUCCAUCUCUAUCACUGUAUCUGUCUUUCUCUUUUUUCUGCUUCCACCUGUCUCCUUUCUGUCUCUUUUCUCUCUGUCUCUUUCUGUCUGUCUGUCUGUCUGUCUGUCUUUCUCUGUCUGUCUGUCUUUCUCUGUCUGUCUGUCUCUCUCUGUCUCUGUCUCUCUAUCUCUUUCUUUGAUCCUUUCCUGAUGGCAUCUGGUGAGAGACAACUCUGUAAGGGGGAGAGGACUUGGGCUCUCCCCACUGAGCCCAACAUGUAG
Molecule: long non-coding RNA, 2102 nt
Organism: Monodelphis domestica (gray short-tailed opossum)
Lineage: Eukaryota; Metazoa; Chordata; Mammalia; Didelphimorphia; Didelphidae
Source: Ensembl